Molecule: ribosomal RNA, 702 nt
Filed under: uncultured bacterium
Lineage: Bacteria
Description: bacterial SSU rRNA
Rfam family: Bacterial small subunit ribosomal RNA
Source: RNAcentral
UAGUAUUUCCGCAUGGUUUCACUAUUAAAGAAUUUCGGUUAUCGAUGGGGAUGCGUUCCAUUAGAUAGUUGGCGGGGUAACGGCCCACCAAGUCAACGAUGGAUAGGGGUUCUGAGAGGAAGGUCCCCCACAUUGGAACUGAGACACGGUCCAAACUCCUACGGGAGGCAGCAGUGAGGAAUAUUGGUCAAUGGACGAGAGUCUGAACCAGCCAAGUAGCGUGAAGGAUGACUGCCCUAUGGGUUGUAAACUUCUUUUAUACGGGAAUAAAGUGGAGUAUGCAUACUCCUUUGUAUGUACCGUAUGAAUAAGGAUCGGCUAACUCCGUGCCAGCAGCCGCGGUAAUACGGAGGAUCCGAGCGUUAUCCGGAUUUAUUGGGUUUAAAGGGAGCGUAGGCGGGUGCUUAAGUCAGUUGUGAAAGUUUGCGGCUCAACCGUAAAAUUGCAGUUGAUACUGGGCGCCUUGAGUGCAGCAUAGGUAGGCGGUAUUCGUGGUGUAGCGGUGAAAUGCUUAGAUAUCACGAAGAACUCCGAUUGCGAAGGCAGCUUACUGGACCGUAACUGACGCUGAUGCUCGAAAGUGUGGGUAUCAAACAGGAUUAGAUACCCUGGUAGUCCACACAGUAAACGAUGAAUACUCGCUGUUGGCGAUACACAGUCAGCGGCCAAGCGAAAGCAUUAAGUAUUCCACCUGGGGAGUAC